Non-coding RNA from Triticum urartu, 123 nucleotides. The record is from Rfam. Lineage: Eukaryota; Viridiplantae; Streptophyta; Magnoliopsida; Poales; Poaceae.
CAUGUACUCCCUCCGUCCGUAAAUACUUGUCCAAGGAAUGGAUGUGUAGAUGUAUUUUAGUUCUAAAUACAUCCAUUUGUAUCCAUUUUUCCGACAAGUAUUUCCGAACGAAGGGAGUAUAUA